GGGGAAAUGAAGAUGAUGAAAUACACGUGGAACAAUGGGAGUGAAGCAUCAGAAAAUCGAACGGUGGAAACGUGGAUGACGUUAAGAUCGAAUUUCUAAUACGGUUCCCACACAUCGCGAUGACAAGUGCAGAUCCUUUCUUUUCUUUCCUUUGCUUUUGUUCCGACAAGAAAAUGACACCCACACACACCUCCACGUGUCCCUUUAUCUCCGCCGAUAAAUCCCCCUCUUUCCCCACGAAAAAUUUUCAAAUUCCAUCUGCAUACCAUCUCCUUCGUCCGUCCAUUCAUCAAAUGGUUUCUUCUUCUUCUUCUUCUU
RNAcentral lists this unclassified non-coding RNA (318 nucleotides) under Hevea brasiliensis (rubber tree). The record is from RNAcentral. Lineage: Eukaryota; Viridiplantae; Streptophyta; Magnoliopsida; Malpighiales; Euphorbiaceae.